CGAAUUGGCGUUCGCCGUCGACGAGAACAUCCUCUGCGUCAAUGUCGAGUCCGAACCCGAACUGGAGCUCUUGUCAUCGAUCGCUGCCGGCAAGGGGAGGGCGGCCAACAUCUCGCUCCGGGUCAACCCCGACAUCGACGCAAGAACGCACGCCAAGAUCGCGACCGGCAAAGCCGAGAACAAAUUCGGAAUCCCGAUCAGCCGCGCCCGCGAAGUCUAUGCGCGCGCAGCCAAGCUUCCCGGUGUCAGCGUUGCCGGCGUCGACAUGCAUAUUGGCAGCCAGAUCACCGAGCUGCAGCCGUUCGACGACGCUUUCGCGCUGCUGUCGGAUUUCGUGCGGGCUUUGCGCGCCGAUGGCCAUCGAAUUUC
RNAcentral lists this unclassified non-coding RNA (369 nucleotides) under uncultured fungus. RNAcentral's name for it is "sequence contains ITS1". Lineage: Eukaryota; Fungi. The record is from RNAcentral.